Molecule: ribosomal RNA, 253 nt
Filed under: uncultured bacterium
Lineage: Bacteria
Description: partial 16S ribosomal RNA
Rfam family: Archaeal small subunit ribosomal RNA
Source: RNAcentral
UACCCGCAGCUCAAGUGGUGGUCAUUAUUAUUGGGCCUAAAGCGUCCGUAGCUGGUUUGUUAAAUGCCUGGGGAAAUCGAUGCGCUCAACGCAUCGAAUUCCGGGUAGACUGGCAAACUCGAGACCGGGAGAGGUGUAGGCUACUCGAGGGGUAGGGGUAAAAUCCUGUAAUCCUUCGGGGAGGACCAGUGGCGAAGGCGCUACACUAGAACGGCUCUGACAGUGAGGGACGAAGCCCUGGGGCGCAAACCGG